UGGGGAAUAUUGCACAAUGGGCGAAAGCCUGAUGCAGCAACGCCGCGUGAGCGAUGAAGGCCUUUGGGUCGUAAAGCUCUGUCCUUGGGGAAGAAAAAAAUGACGGUACCCUUGGAGGAAGCCCCGGCUAACUACGUGCCAGCAGCCGCGGUAAUACGUAGGGGGCAAGCGUUAUCCGGAAUUAUUGGGCGUAAAGAGUGCGUAGGUGGUUUUGUAAGCGCGGGGUGAAAGGCUAUGGCUCAACCAUAGUAAGCCUCGCGAACUGUGAGACUUGAGUGCAGGAGAGGAAAGUGGAAUUCCUAGUGUAGCGGUGAAAUGCGUAGAUAUUAGGAGGAACACCAGUGGCGAAGGCGACUUUCUGGACUGUAACUGACACUGAGGCACGAAAGCGUGGGGAGCAAACAGG
RNAcentral lists this ribosomal RNA (406 nucleotides) under uncultured bacterium. RNAcentral's name for it is "bacterial SSU rRNA". It matches the Rfam family "Bacterial small subunit ribosomal RNA", at positions 355 to 776 of the family's 1533-position model. The record is from RNAcentral.